RNAcentral lists this ribosomal RNA (481 nucleotides) under uncultured bacterium. Its description in RNAcentral is "partial 16S ribosomal RNA". It matches the Rfam family "Bacterial small subunit ribosomal RNA", at positions 28 to 507 of the family's 1533-position model. The record is from RNAcentral.
GAUGAACGCUGGCGGCGUGCUUAACACAUGCAAGUCGAACGAAGCACUUUAUUUGAUUUCCUUCGGGACUGAUUAUUUUGUGACUGAGUGGCGGACGGGUGAGUAACACGUGGGUAACCUGCCUUGUACAGGGGGAUAACAGUUGGAAACGGCUGCUAAUAUAGAAUAAGCGGAUAGAAUUGUAUGAGGUAGGGUGAAUAACUCCGUUGGUAUAAGAUGGAGUCGGGUUGGAUUAGUGAGUUGGUGAGGUAACGGCCCACCAAGGCGACGAUGCAUCGCCGACCUGAGAGGGUGACCGGCCACAUUGGGACUGAGACACGGCCCAAACUCCUACACACAAGCUCAAUAUAUAAUAUUACACCAUAAACGAAAGCCUGAUGCACCGACGCCGCGUGAGCGAAGAAGUAUUUCGGGAUAUAAAUCUCUAUCAUCACAGACUAUAAUAACUUUCCCUCAAUAACAAGCACCGGCUAAAUACAUG